RNAcentral lists this transfer RNA (76 nucleotides) under Alphaproteobacteria bacterium. Its description in RNAcentral is "tRNA-Thr". It matches the Rfam family "tRNA". Rfam says of the family: Transfer RNA (tRNA) molecules are approximately 80 nucleotides in length. The record is from RNAcentral. Lineage: Bacteria; Pseudomonadati; Pseudomonadota; Alphaproteobacteria.
GCCGCUUUAGCUCAGUUGGUAGAGCACACGAUUCGUAAUCGUGUUGUCGCGUGUUCGAUUCACGCAAGCGGCACCA